Phrynosoma platyrhinos (Desert horned lizard) is the source of this 70-nucleotide non-coding RNA. The record is from the annotation of a GenBank genome assembly. Lineage: Eukaryota; Metazoa; Chordata; Lepidosauria; Squamata; Phrynosomatidae.
ACCAGCAUGGUGUAGUGGUUUGAGCACUGGACUAUGACUCUAGAGAGCAGGAUUCGAAUUCCACUGGGUA